CCACAGUGUUUAAGUGAUUGAGUCCACACACGACACCCGCAAGCCUCUUCGGGUGAGAAAGGUAGCACAAGCCAACUUCCGUGUCAUCUAUGCUAGCUGGGAGGAAAUGUGACACACAGCGCUCGUGUAUGAGAGGUCACGACUGGACUCACGUUCGAAUCGUGUAAUGUGGGCAGCAGUCAGACGCGACUAGACUUCAGUUGCAGGAAAUCAAACAUGUUUGAUUUUUAAGCACGAUUUUGAACGCACAGGAGAAACGUGGGUGAUUUUACCGUCCCCAAAGCGAGCACACAGAAAACAGCAGCCAAUGACAGAGUGAAAUAAAGGCAGAAAAACACCGCAGCGCCUCCCUUUUCAUUUCUCUGUCAAAACAUCUGCACAAACUACACAUUUUCAUGACCGCAGCCUCACGCAAAUCAGCUCAACUUUACAUCACGCGAAAUACUUUUUCUAACUACAUUUCAACCGCAAAUAGAGUUUAACGGCGGUACUUACGGAGUUUGGACACGAACUUCCCAGCUAUUUUCUCCGUUAGCCUAGCUUCUUUCCGCUUUCUCUCCGCUUUCCGCCGCGGUCGCCUCCGUGUCUCCUCCACCACCUCCUCUGUCUCCUCCGUGUCGCGGUUGAUGGUCCAUUUCCUUUUCUUCUUAAAUCCAAACAAAUAUGUCCCGCAUCUUCAUGUCGCCGACGUUUAUCUCCAUUUUGACAAAACUAUAGCGAAGUUGAAGGCUGCAGCAUUGAACGGAGCUCACGUGAUACUGUUGAUACUGUUCACACUAUUGACCAAUGAGGACGCGCGCAUGUUUCCCACGCCCACAAACAGAGAGGCCUGUCUUCGAAGAGGAAGUAGUCUCUACAUUCAACCCGCGGUUAACGAGACGAGACAUAGACGACGACGGGAAAGGAAAUUGUCAACACUUGGUUUAAAGGCUUAACGGCAAUACGAAGUGUGGGCAGCGGCGUUUUCACUAAAUGACAUUGUGUGCCAUCGAUACUCAUCCUGCAAAGAGCUCCCAUCCUGCUGUCAUGUCUGAGAAACGAAUGGAAGAAGCUCAUUGUCCACAGGACACUCCUCAACAGAUGACAUUGUGUGCCAUCGAUACUCAUCCUGCAAAGACCUCCCAUUCUGCUGUCAUGUCUGAGAAACGGAUGGAAGAAGCUCAUUGUCCACAGGACACUCCUCAACAGAUAAAGCUCCACCGAAGAAAAACACCCUGGCAGGCAGCAGAGGUUAGGGCGGUAGAGAGGCAAAUGAUCCAGUUCAUCCGAUCUUGUACGGUACCAACGAAGAGAGACUGUGAGAAAUGUUUAAGAGCUGAACCUGAAGCUCUCAGUAACAGAAACUGGCAGAACUUGAAAUUUUACGUCUACAACAGGAUUACAGCCUUAAAAAGGAAAACACACCAUAAAUAGUAUGGUGAAUCCAAAGAAAACUGUUCAACCAAAGUUUUGUUUUUUCUUAGUCUGAAUAAUAUCCACCCAGUUCUAGCCUCGUGGGAGUUCUCCUUUAUAUUCCUCCUUUAGAUUAUGUGUGUAUGAAUCAGGUCUCCCAUAGAAGCUAUCUAAAGCUUAUUGAGGGAGCCUGUGUACAUACAAAACAAAACAAAUACUGAGCCUUCUGUUCUUUGCAUGUGUGUGUACGUUUAUACACAAUGUUAUUGUCAUUGCAGAAUUUUAUUGUAUGCAAUGUAAACAAUUUCUCUGACCUUGUCAUUAAAAAAGUGUCAUGCAGGUCAAACCAGUUUGAUUUCUUGGUGGGGUCAUGUGACAUGUU
This 1774-nucleotide long non-coding RNA is filed under the name Neogobius melanostomus (round goby). RNAcentral describes it as "lncRNA (ENSNMLG00000020841.1)". The record is from RNAcentral. Lineage: Eukaryota; Metazoa; Chordata; Actinopteri; Gobiiformes; Gobiidae.